RNAcentral lists this transfer RNA (99 nucleotides) under Promineifilum sp. (SeqCode). RNAcentral describes it as "tRNA-Sec". It matches the Rfam family "Selenocysteine transfer RNA". The record is from RNAcentral. Lineage: Bacteria; Bacillati; Chloroflexota; Ardenticatenia; Promineifilales (SeqCode); Promineifilaceae (SeqCode).
GGGAGCGGUUGUGUCCCGGUGGAUGCCUUCGUCUUCAAAAUGAGUGGCCGGCUACGCUGAGUAGGCGGCGGUGGGUUCGACUCCCAUCCGCUCCCGCCA